This 127-nucleotide small RNA is filed under the name Marmota monax (woodchuck). Lineage: Eukaryota; Metazoa; Chordata; Mammalia; Rodentia; Sciuridae. The record is from RNAcentral.
GCCAGGCGUGGUGGCGUAUGCUUGUAAUCCCAGAGACUCGGGAGGCUGAGGCAGGAGGAUCAUAAGUUCAGAGCCAGCCUCAAGUGCUUAGUGAGGCCCUAAGCAACUUAGUGAGAACCUGUCUCAA